Brassica rapa (field mustard) is the source of this 1748-nucleotide long non-coding RNA. RefSeq lists it as uncharacterized. The record is from RefSeq and is a predicted model, not a curated record. Lineage: Eukaryota; Viridiplantae; Streptophyta; Magnoliopsida; Brassicales; Brassicaceae.
UUUUUUGAAAACUCUUCUUUUUUUAUACAUAAAGAUUAAAAAAACUAUAUCAAAACCCUAAAAGUCUUGCAUCAAUAAGUAUCCAGCUAGAUUCAUGAAACUGAAUUUUAGUCAAGUCGUAUUUGAAUAUUCAGAAGAUGUAACAUAGUUGAUGUAGAAAACCGCGUUCUUGAAUGAGAAGAAUACGUAGAAGUUUGAUGCUUCAACUUUAUCUGUUCACAUACGGUUGAUUAACUGUUUUCUUCGAUCUAUAUAUGUACACACUACUGGUCGAGAUGUGAGAAAAGAACAACAAAAUGAAGAAAAUAACACAAUCGCUUCUUCUAAGUUUGGUUCCUAUACUUCUAUGUGUAUCUUUUCAGGUUGGUGUGAUAGAGGCUAGAUUGCGUCACCUAGGAACACCAAUAACAGAAACACGAAUGAUACACGUAAACCCUCCCCCACCUUGUGGAGCUAAAAUACAAGUUGCGCCGCCUUUGCCGCCUUCUACUCAGAUACAAACGGGAGAGAUGCCUCCUUUUGAGACACAAACAGGAGGAGCUUGUAGACCCGUUCCUCGAAGACUUCCUCGUCCACCUUAAGAACUUACACACUCAGAAAUCAGAAUCCACAAAGACUUUGCCCACCAUAUAUAUAUAUAAUUAAUGGUCUUGAUAUCUUCUAAAUAAUUUACAAAAGUUGGUAUUCUUCUGGUUCUGAAACCAUCUUCACCAAUUGAGAACAAUCCGUUGCAAACGUAAUCUGAAAUUAACGUAAGUUUCUCAUACAUUCCAUUGCCCAGAGUAGCGCUUCUAUCUCCGCAUGAAGAGAUAGGCUAACCCGAACAUUCCUCACCUCCAACAGUCCAUCAAAUCCUUCUAGUGUACUAAACCAUCUCUGUCCGAAAAAGAUAUCAUCCUUUUUCCAAGAACCAUCUGUGAAACACCAUCUUCUAGGAAUUGGCAGCAUGGACGUGACCACAACUUGUGGUACUAUUCUCUGCUCAUCUAAAAUUUGUGCAUCCGCCCAAAGUGUAGAUUUUGUUUCUGACAAAUUAAGUGUAUCCAUGGGAUCAAUGUCCAAAUUACUAAAAACUUUGUUAUUACGGUCUUUCCAUAUGUACCAUAAAAUCCAAGCAAACUGAUGGUCUUCCAUUUGUGGCAGAACUCUCCAGAAAUGAUGAUUCAUAUUUGUGAAUAAAGACUUUCUUGGAAAAAUAUAUGGGUUCGAUGGUAUCUUCGAGAGAGCCCAAACCUGAAGUGCUGGAUGACAUUCGAAAAAUACAUGGUUUAUCGAUUCCUCUGAGCUCUACAUCUGACACAACAAAUAUCUCCUUGAAUCCCUCUCCCUUGUAAAUUCUUCUUAACUGCUACACAUCCUCCCACGAGCUGCCAUGGGAAGUGUUUUAACUUUGGUGGGCACCAUAUUUUCCUACAAAAAGCUUUCAAUACGUCAACUAUAGGGCCAAUCAAAAGUGGUGGUCGUGCUCUAUCUGGGUAAAUCCGUUCUAUCUGAUAUCCUGAUUUAACUGUAUAUUUUCCACUUUUGGUAAAAUGGCAUCCAUCACUGUUUGUCCUCUGAGUCGUACUCAGUAGUAUACUUUCUAUAAGUUCUGAUUCAUGUGGGUCCACCAAAGUCCAAAUUGCAUGUGAAUUCCAAGUACGCGAAGUGGAAUCAAUGAGAGAAUCCAUUGUAAGGUCUGGGUAUAAAUUGUAUUGAUUUUUAUUGUCUGGUCUCGAUACAGAUAUAGAAGAACAUGUUCCCACGAA